GCUUAGCAUAAUGUCAGUACAUUUUCACUAUUAGUAUGAAACAUACAUAUGUUUGUGAUCAUUUCAUAUUUGUGAUGACUGAUGAGUGUAAUUUGAAGUAUUAAGUCACUAAAGUGAUGUCAUAUGCUUAAGAAAAUGAAAUUACACGUAGUACCAACCCCCCGGUUAUGGUAAAAACCACAUUUUUAAGAAGUGGAGUCAAUCAGAAGACAAGAAAAAUAUUUUUUACAGUAGUAACAGUACUGGAGUUUUCAGAUAGAAAUUGUAUGUAAUGUCAAAUUUAUCCAAGGUAGUUCUGCUUGCUGCUGGUGGCUUUGCUGUGAGUAUAAUCCUGGUUGUUCAUAUGUCACAAGAUGCAGACAGGAAGAGACUAAGGGAAGGUGUAAGGAGGGAUUUAGAGCGGCAGAAAAGAAAACAAGAUAAUAUAACAGAAUUAGAACAACAGCAAGAACUAACAAGAAUAUUGGAAGAACAACGAAGUAAAACGUGAAGGAUGCAAAGAAUGGCAGAAAAAUUAAAGGGAAGGAAAUCCAAGGAAUGUGCAGAGAUUUUGGAAGACUAAAAAGAAAGAUAUGGAACAGAAAUAAAAUGUCAGCAAGAACUGACAAGGAUAUAUUUAGGACAGAAAAAAUAUGAAGAAAGGCAAAGACUAGCAGAUUAUUUAAACGUAAGGAAUAUGGCAGUGGCAUAGUUAACUUUGGGCUAUGAAUGGGCACCUAGCUGGCUUAAACUAAAAACCACCCCCUGGUCUUGAGGUACAGUAGGCUGUAUUUCUGUUUAGGCAUUCAUAAACAAGUAAACAGAACACUGCAUGUAUGGUCAUUCAAAGAUGAUGUCAUCAUGUCCAGAACUUUAUCCUGUCUUCGCCUAGAACCAUUAAUUAUAAACAAUUGCCCAAACUUCAACUCUUUGUCAUCCUUGCUCAGGGCCCUUGGGAUUUGCCAGGCAGUGCCCGAAGGAGUUAUGUCAUUGAUGUAUGGCACAAUUUGGAUACUGCAUGUACACAAAAAAGAAAUUUAAGGUUAGUAAUGAAGCUGAAAAAAAUGACAAGCAAGAACUAACCAGACUAUAUUGGAAAAACAAAGAAGUAAAAUGCAAAGAAAAGUGAAGACUGACAGAUUAAGAGAAGGGGUACAUAGAAUUUUUAAAAGACAGAAAGAUAUUGAAACAUAAUUUAAAAAUGAUAGCAAGCAUUGACAUCAUGAAGAAUAUAUUGGAAGAACAAAGAAUAUAUGCAGAAGGCAGACUGACAGAUUAAGGGAAGAAUGAAUAUAAAAUAAUGAAAAAUAAUGAAACAGAAUAUAAAACAACAACAAUUAUAUUUUAUAAACAUUGAAGACUGACAUAAGAUGUCAAGGAAGCAAAUAAUGACAGAAGGGGCCCGAAUGACAUCCUGUGGCAAAAUUUGGAAGGAAAGAUAAAUAAGAAAGGUAAUGGAACCAAAUUAAAACAUUGCAAAAGCUGCCAAUAAUCUUGAUUAGAAGAACAAAAAAUAAAACAUAAUGAAUACAAAGACUGCAAUAAUUAUUCUUUGGUCAAGAUGUAUAUUCCAGGAGUAUACUGUACCCUCUCCUGGCACUGACUUGUACCCAGUCCCUCAAAUGAGGAUUGAAAAAAAAUGGUGCAUGAUUGGGGAUGGUCAAAAUUUGGGUCAAUUUUUCUUCGUCAUUCCCAUCACAUGUACAAUAUGUACUCAUUGACUCAGCAUCUGGCAUGCCCAGACACACCAUGACAAUUGUGUACAAGGGGAUCAGGCUUUUCUAAGAAACUUAGACCUUUGAGGAUGGAAUAUUUUAUAUACGUAAAUGCAUUGUCAGAUUUUGAGCGGAGGUGCAGAGAAAUAUGCCAGCAUACACACCUGCCCUGAGAAUUUUUUCUUGUGUUUGCAGGUUAGGUGCUGGGCUUGAUUGAGUCAAAAUUUGACUCAAAUUGAACAGUUAACUUGAAUGAUUGUUAUUAAAUUUUACAUGUGGCCAAGGUCUACACUUCAAGUGUAAUAAAGUUCUUCCAUAAAAUUGAAAGUGCUACUCAUUCAUCUAUGUGUCAAUCACCAUUUUAGUACACAC
This 2066-nucleotide long non-coding RNA is filed under the name Paramuricea clavata. Lineage: Eukaryota; Metazoa; Cnidaria; Anthozoa; Malacalcyonacea; Plexauridae. The record is from RNAcentral.